GCAGGUGUAGUUUAAUGGUAAAACAUCAGCUUGCCAUGCUGAGUAUGGGGGUUCGAUUCCCCUCGCUUGCUCCA
Molecule: transfer RNA, 74 nt
Filed under: Tenericutes bacterium HGW-Tenericutes-5
Lineage: Bacteria; Bacillati; Mycoplasmatota
Also listed under: 2 other names
Description: tRNA-Gly
Rfam family: tRNA
About the family: Transfer RNA (tRNA) molecules are approximately 80 nucleotides in length. Their secondary structure includes four short double-helical elements and three loops (D, anti-codon, and T loops). Further hydrogen bonds mediate the characteristic L-shaped molecular structure. tRNAs have two regions of fundamental functional importance: the anti-codon, which is responsible for specific mRNA codon recognition, and the 3' end, to which the tRNAs corresponding amino acid is attached (by aminoacyl-tRNA synthetases). tRNAs cope with the degeneracy of the genetic code in two manners: having more than one tRNA (with a specific anti-codon) for a particular amino acid; and 'wobble' base-pairing, i.e. permitting non-standard base-pairing at the 3rd anti-codon position.
Source: RNAcentral